GAUGAACGCUAGCGGCAGGCCUAACACAUGCAAGUCGAGGGGUAACAUAGAAAAGCUUGCUUUUCUGAUGACGACCGGCGCACGGGUGCGUAACGCGUAUACAACCUACCUUUUAGCGGGGAAUAGCCCGGGGAAACUUGGAUUAAUGCCCCAUAGUAUAUAGACUUCUCCUGAAGUUUAUAUUAAACAUUUAUGGCUAUUAGAUGGGUAUGCGUCCUAUUAGUUAGUUGGUAAGGUAACGGCUUACCAAGGCAGCGAUAGGUAGGGGUCCUGAGAGGGAGAUCCCCACACUGGUACUGAGACACGGACCAGACUCCUACGGGAGGCAGCAGUGAGGAAUAUUGGACAAUGGGCGAGAGCCUGAUCCAGCCAUGCCGCGUGCAGGAAGACUGCCCUAUGGGUUGUAAACUGCUUUUACAGAGGAAGAACCACCCCCACGUGUGGGGGUUUGACGGUACUCUGCGAAUAAGGAUCGGCUAACUCCGUG
Molecule: ribosomal RNA, 487 nt
Filed under: uncultured bacterium
Lineage: Bacteria
Description: bacterial SSU rRNA
Rfam family: Bacterial small subunit ribosomal RNA
Source: RNAcentral